AGCGAACGCUGGCGGUAGGCUUAACACAUGCAAGUCGAGCGGGCAUCCUUGUGGUGUCAGCGGCAGACGGGUGAGUAACGCGUGGGAACGUGCCCUUCGGUUCGGAAUAACUCAGGGAAACUUGAGCUAAUACCGGAUACGCCCUUUUGGGGAAAGGUUUACUGCCGAAGGAUCGGCCCGCGUCUGAUUAGCUAGUUGGUGAGGUUAUGGCUCACCAAGGCGACGAUCAGUAGCUGGUCUGAGAGGAUGAUCAGCCACACUGGGACUGAGACACGGCCCAGACUCCUACGGGAGGCAGCAGUGGGGAAUAUUGGACAAUGGGGGCAACCCUGAUCCAGCCAUGCCGCGUGAGUGAUGACGGCCUUAGGGUUGUAAAGCUCUUUUCUCCGGGACGAUAAUGACGGUACCGGAGGAAUAAGCCCCGGCUAACUUCGUG
RNAcentral lists this ribosomal RNA (436 nucleotides) under uncultured bacterium. Its description in RNAcentral is "partial 16S ribosomal RNA". It matches the Rfam family "Bacterial small subunit ribosomal RNA", at positions 29 to 507 of the family's 1533-position model. The record is from RNAcentral.